CCUUUGAUAGCUCAGUUGGUAGAGCAGAGGACUGUAGAUCCUUAGGUUGCUGGUUUGAUUCCGGCUCAAAGGA
Molecule: non-coding RNA, 73 nt
Organism: Arvicanthis niloticus (Nile rat)
Lineage: Eukaryota; Metazoa; Chordata; Mammalia; Rodentia; Muridae
Source: the annotation of a RefSeq genome assembly